UACGUGAGGGGCGAACGUUGUUCGGUGUCACUGGGCUUAAAGGGUGCGUAGGUGGUUACGUAAGUAACGUGUGAAAUACCUCGGCUUACCCGGGGAAUUGCGCGUUAUACUGCGUGACUUGAGGAUUUCAGGGGAAUGGGGAACUCCAGGUGUAGCGGUGAAAUGCGCAGAUAUCUGGGGGAAGGCCGGCGGCGAAGGCGCCAUUCUGGGAAAUUCCUGACACUGAGGCACGAAAGCGUGGGGAGCAAACAGG
RNAcentral lists this ribosomal RNA (253 nucleotides) under uncultured bacterium. Its description in RNAcentral is "partial 16S ribosomal RNA". It matches the Rfam family "Bacterial small subunit ribosomal RNA", at positions 524 to 776 of the family's 1533-position model. The record is from RNAcentral.